Molecule: long non-coding RNA, 914 nt
Filed under: Homo sapiens (human)
Lineage: Eukaryota; Metazoa; Chordata; Mammalia; Primates; Hominidae
Description: non-protein coding lnc-HBEGF-2:12
Source: RNAcentral
GUAGCCCCUCGGUCCCUGUAGUCCUGUAGCCCCUCAGCCUAGGCAGGCAGAGGCAAGAGGAUUGCUAGAGCCUGUGAGAUCAAGACUGCAGUGAGCUAUGCUUGCACCACUGCACUCCAGUCUGGGCAACAGAGCAAGACCCUGUCUCAAAAAUAAAUUAAAUAAAUAAAAAGAAAAACCCUGAUAUGAUAGUCUAAGUAGCUAUCGAUUGAGAGAAAUACGUGCCCAGAGUAUCACUUGGCUGGGUGCAGUAGCUCAUGCCGUAAUCCCAGCACUUUAGGAGGCCAAGGCGGGGGAUUGCUUGAGCCCAGGAGCUUGAGACCAGUCUGGGCAACAUAGCGAGAACCUAUCUCUAAAAAAAAAAUUAUUGGCUGGGCACGGUGGCUCACGCCUGUAAUCCCAGCACUUUGGGAGGCUGAGGCAGGUGGAUCACCUGAGGUCAGGAGUUGGAGACCAGCCUGGCUAACAUGGAGAAACCCCGUCUCUACUAAAACUACAAACAAAUUAGAUGGGCAUGGUGACAGGUGCCUACAGUCCCAGCUACUCGGGAGGCUGAGGCAGGUUAGUCACUUGAACCCCCAGAGGUGGAGGCUGCAGUAAGCCGAGAUCAUGCCACUGCACUCUAGCCUGGGCAACAAGAGUGAAACUCCAGUACUUUUUUUUUAAGUAUAGUUUAAAUUUAGACUUUAUUUUGAGACAGGAUCUCUCUGUGUCACUCAGGCUGGAGUGCAGUGGUGCAAUCACAGCUCACUAUAGCUUCAAACUCCUGUGCUCAAGUGAUCCUCCCACCUUAGAGCACCCCUUGCCCCAUCCCCACCCCCACCCUGAGUAGCUGGGACGACAGGAUGUGCCACCAUGUCCAGCUAAUUUUUUAUGUUUUUUUUUUUUGUAGAGACAGGGUCUCACUAUGUUGC